UGGGGAAUAUUGCACAAUGGGCGCAAGCCUGGUGCAGCCAUGCCGCGUGUGUGAAGAAGGCCUUCGGGUUGUAAAGCACUUUCAGCGGGGAGGAAGGCGGUGAGGUUAAUAACCUCAUCGAUUGACGUUACCCGCAGAAGAAGCACCGGCUAACUCCGUGCCAGCAGCCGCGGUAAUACGGAGGGUGCAAGCGUUAAUCGGAAUUACUGGGCGUAAAGCGCACGCAGGCGGUCUGUCAAGUCGGAUGUGAAAUCCCCGGGCUCAACCUGGGAACUGCAUUCGAAACUGGCAGGCUAGAGUCUUGUAGAGGGGGGUAGAAUUCCAGGUGUAGCGGUGAAAUGCGUAGAGAUCUGGAGGAAUACCGGUGGCGAAGGCGGCCCCCUGGACAAAGACUGACGCUCAGGUGCGAAAGCGUGGGGAGCAGACAGGAUUAGAUACCCUGGUAGUCCACGCUGUAAACGAUGUCGAUUUGGAGGUUGUGCCCUUGAGGCGUGGCUUCCGGAGCUAACGCGUUAAAUCGACCGCCUGGGGAGUACGGCCGCAAGGUUA
RNAcentral lists this ribosomal RNA (549 nucleotides) under uncultured bacterium. RNAcentral's name for it is "bacterial SSU rRNA". It matches the Rfam family "Bacterial small subunit ribosomal RNA", at positions 355 to 896 of the family's 1533-position model. The record is from RNAcentral.